Molecule: long non-coding RNA, 661 nt
Filed under: Penaeus japonicus
Lineage: Eukaryota; Metazoa; Arthropoda; Malacostraca; Decapoda; Penaeidae
Description: uncharacterized LOC122256548, transcript variant X2
Source: RNAcentral
UGUGUGUGUGUGUGUGUGUGUGUAUGUGUAUGUGUGUGUUUAUGCAUCUUUCUUAAACAAAAAAGCAUCAACAAGAAAACACAAACUGAAAAUAUUCUACAAAUAUCUUGGUAUAGUGUCUGUCUGAAACAUCUUUAAAAUACCCCCCCCCCACCCCCCCACCCCAAAAAAAGAAAGAAAAGAAAGAAAACAAAUGCUUUCAGACCCCAAAACAAAAAACAAGCAAGAACAAAAAGAACAACAAGAACAAAAAGAAACACACGCCUUCAAACCUUGAGAUCACCAUUAGCAAAGAAAAUUAUUAUCCCUACUUAGAGAUCUUAUAUCGUCACGUUGAAAAGAUAUUGCAAGAAGCUCAUUUCUUGGUGUCAAUUAUUCAUGACCAAGUGAAGGAGAAAAUAUGGAUUUACGCAUUUUUGGAAUUAUCGGAUUAAGUCAAUCAUUCGUAGGUGAUUAAGUGACUGAAUGACAAUGAUGUUAUGGUGUAGUGCAAAGUGAGUGAUUAAUGAAUGUUUGAUUGAAUAGAUAGAGAGAAAGAGAUAAUAGAAAAGGAUGAAGCCAUGGCAUGAAAGGGUGAAUACAGAAGAUAAGAGAGAACGAAAACAAGAAAAAAAACGAAGAUGAAUAGAAAAAAAUAAAGAGGGAUGACAAAAUAAUAAAA